Long non-coding RNA from Oncorhynchus nerka (sockeye salmon), 779 nucleotides. RefSeq lists it as uncharacterized. NCBI's taxonomy places the organism in Eukaryota, Metazoa, Chordata, Actinopteri, Salmoniformes, Salmonidae. The transcript is spliced from 2 exons. The record is from RefSeq and is a predicted model, not a curated record.
UCCUCUAGUUAGCCAGUUCCCUGUCGCUAGUGGUGUUUCCUCUAGUUAGCCAGUUCCAUGUCGCUAGUGGUGUUUCCUCUAUUUAGCCAGUUACCUGUCGCUAGUGGUGUUUCCUCUAUUUAGCCAGUUCCCUGUCGCUAGUAGCUAGCUAAGUGUAAGUUGAGCUAGCUAGCGAACGUUAGCUAAAGAUAGUGUGCCUGUGUGUAGAUGCCCCAUGGUGCGGUCACUGUAAGGAGCUGGCUCCUGUCUGGGAGAAGCUGGCAGAGAAGCACGCUGACCGGGAUGACAUCAUCAUUGCCAAGAUGGACGCCACGACCAAUGAGGUGGAGGGAGUGUCUGUGUCUGGCUUCCCUACACUACGAUACUACCCUGCUGGAGAAGACAGCAAGGAGGUAGAGUACAGUGGGACCAGAGACUUGGAGACGUUUGCUAUGUUCCUGGACAAUGGAGGACAGCUUCCGAAGGUGGAAGAGGAGGAUGAGGAUAAUGAAGAGGAGGUGAAGUUGAAGUUGAACUUACCUGACUAAUUAUGCAAACCCCUCCCACUCUAAGCUCUUCUGACCAAUCCCCUGUCACUGUUAAUACAAACACCUCCCACUCCAGCUCUCUUGACCAAUCCCCUCUCUCCUUCUGACAGGUCACUGAUGAGUCAUCGCCACCGCCAGCCAAUGAGACGUCUAAAGACGAGCUGUAAAGUCAGAGCACCGAACCGAUCAAGAGUAGUUUAUUGGUUUCUAUGGUUUCUCUUGGUUUAAUAAUAAAAGUGAUUUGAUUCUGAA